AGCUUAUUAUUCUUGUGUUGAUCGUUCGUUGAACUUAUUACUAAUACGGUUAAGCGUGUGGUUAGGUAACGAGCUGAGUAAUCGGGAAGUGCCAAAACCGUAAGUUGGCAUACUUCGGUCGACUCACAGAUAGCAGGGUUUGUAGGAUGGUCCACUACUGGUCGGCGUUUUGGGGUUGGCUUUGAGGAUGUUGAAUGUGUCGGUGGUAGUGAGUUGUCUUGUAUAUAUAAUCGACUCGUUUUGUAAAGGAUGUUUUGCACUUUAGUUUGCCAAGUAUGUAAAGUUAUGGGUAUAACGUCGACUCUUUUAAUAAUAUUAAUGUUAAGUCUUCCGCUGGUUUAUUCUGAGUUAA
Molecule: long non-coding RNA, 352 nt
Organism: Rhododendron vialii
Lineage: Eukaryota; Viridiplantae; Streptophyta; Magnoliopsida; Ericales; Ericaceae
Exons: 2
Source: RefSeq, a predicted model, not a curated record